UACGAUCCGAAUGUUCUCAGAUUGAGUUGAAUAAGUGAAAAGAUGAUGUGGAUCUUGGAAACUAUGAGAUCUUUUACCCAAUAACACUAUUUUUUAGAUCCUAGCAUGUGAGGGUGGUGGAAUCCUCUUUAAUUGGGUGGAGAUUAGAGUUCAUCUCUCUGAAAGAUUGAGUAGCGAGACUGCAAACCCUAAAUCCUUGAGGAGGUUUAUAUAGGUUUACCUAUAAGUUUAAGUAACUUAAUCACAUUUUUAGGCUUGGAUCACUUAAACUAGUCUAUUAGGUCCUAAUUAAUUAAUUAGUCUUAUUGUGUUCCAAUUGAUUAAUUAUCUUAAUCUAGAGACAUGCACCAUUCAUAAUCUCUUGCAUACUCUUGCAUAUUUUCCAAAAUUCCUUAAUUUAUGCACGCAAAUGAAUAAAGAACCUAAAUAUAUCUUAAGUAAUAUGUCAUUGAGGAAUAUUACUUCAAGUAAGAAUCAUUGGGACCUAUAGAAAAGUAUUGGCUCCCUCAUGAUGUAAUUUUGAAGUUGACUCAACAUUCCACUAUGAGGAGUUAAUUGCACUCCAAUAUCCUAUAAUAUUAGCUUGAGAUAGAAUACUUGGGUUCAUAACCUUAUAACAAUUGCAUGCAAGCUUCCCAUGAACCAAUGUUUAUAAUUUAACAAGGUGAAUGUUAUCACUCUCUUAAAAUUACUUUUACAGUCUUUUAGUCUCAAAUCCUCUUAUUAUAUAAUCAAUUGACACAUUAUAGCUCUUUAAGCACAUAUAUCAAAUUCCAUUUAACUAAUUAUUAUAGUCAUAGAUUCAUACUUCUAACUUUCAUCCAUCCUUUCAAAACACAUCUAUGACACUCAUACCACAGGGCCUCUACUAUCCAAUCUACUAGUAGACUUCUUGAGAUGUCUCAUAUCCUACGACUUAUAGAUCAUUUCAUCAAGACCAACAUAUAUCCUUUUAACCAAUAUAAUAAGAGUUCUAAAGCGACUCACCAGGAUUGUACCAUGUGUAUAUGAAGCAACUGGUAAAGCCUAACCUGGCUAGUUCUAGAUGUCAUCUAUUAUUUUCUAAGGAAAGUGAAAGAGAAGUUGUUAGCUUCAGCAUGUUUAAAGAUACAACACCAGCUCCAAGGUAACCAACUCAAGUGCACUGUAUUCAAGAUCACUAACACAAUAGUUACACAGUUGGCAUGACUGUUAGCGCAAUUAGCUAGGUAGUUUUCCCUUGUUAUAACAAACUCUAAUAGUUGUUAAGAAUUUACUGCUACUUAAGGAAGUCACCACCUGUAUUGUAAACUUAAAUGAACCGAUAAUGAGAAAUAGCUAAUAUUUUCUUUCAUCCAUUUUUUUUUUGCCUUUUAACACAACACGACAAUAUCUCAUUCCAUUAUCUAAAUUGAUCUCUUAGUAUCCAUUGCAUUAAGGCUACCAGUUACUUAAUUUCGAUUGAUGACUUGCACACUAUUGUCUACUCUAUUGAUUAUUAAAAUAUUGUAUUAGUUCACUCUUAGUCUUAGCUAGCUACUCUUGGCACUCGUAGGAAUAGGGUUCUGCAUAUUCUUUCCUCUUCAUUUGAUGUCGAGAGCAAUCCUCCUACCCCAAUUGCCCUUAUGCCCACAACACAUGCAACUACUCCACCUAUUUUGUCUGCUCCAUCUCAGACUAUCUCUACUACUCCUACCCCUCUAUCAUUAACACCUAUUCACAACAUUCUUAGACUUUCUCAGCCUCAGAUUGAUGAUCAUACUCCAAGUUUACUACAAGUUAUGACCUAUUUGGCCAUGCUUUAAGACCUCUUUAUGAGCAUGGACUCUUGUAUUGAUGUCAAGCUCAGUUGCAUGGAGACUUGCAUGUGGACGAUUUGACUUUUAUCAUUCAACAACUUAGCUCUUUAGCUAGAGUCCUCAAAUUGAGAGAUGGUUUGGUACCACCAGUUUAUGGAAACCUAGAGGUAGAUGGUGGUACUAAGGUUUGCCUUCAUUUUUUAUACCAAAGUUGAGGGAGCAAUGCUUGUAGCCACACCCAUCCUACAACUCAGGUGCAUUAGGAGUUGCACUGAAAAUCCAUGUCAUGGGUUCCUUACAAGUUAAUAAAUUGUUCGCAACUAGUUCAUAGACUUAGGAAACCUAUUUAAGGUUGUAGUGUACAACCUCUUAAUUGGAGGGAUGAUUUGUCUUGGUCAUUAUGAUGAGUUUCUCAUGGUAAGUGCAUUGUGUGCAUGGUUAUACAUUAGACACGGCCUAUGAUGAAUCAUGACAUUUACUAUUAGGGAGUCAUGAUUCACCAAACUACUAUGUUGACCUUGAGAGAAUAUUGAGAUAAUACUGAGGUCUUUAGUGGCUUUGGCUUAUAAGUGAGACCCUAAAGUGGUCAUAUAUUCCCUACAGAUUGGUCACUAUUGAUUAAAGCAAGUGACAAUAGGCAUUUUCAAAAUAGGCACCAUAAUAUCUUAUGGGAUUAGGACAAUGUGUCCCCUUAGGUGAUUAUAAGGACUUGUGAUUAUGAAAUCUAUAGCAUUGUAGGAAUCCUUUUAGUGGAAUUUGACAUAUGCUUUAUGUUAGUUAGAGUAUGUCAAGUGAUCAUAUAAUAAGACAAUUUGAAACUCAAUGAUUGUAGAUGAAAUCUUGAGAGGUUGAUAGCAUUUGUCUUGUUAGAUAAUGGACACUAGUCCAUGGAGAGUCUAGAUGCAUGGGAUAGUAUGUCAUGGACCAAAAGAAUUGAUUAAAUUGAAUUUGAUCAAUUUUGAUCUUGAUAACAUAGAAUAUUGGAGUGCAAUUAACUUUCUUUAAUGGAUUAUUGAGUUAACUUCAGAACUGGAUUAUAAGGGAGUCAAUAUCUUGAUAUAAUAACAUAUGAUACUAGAGUGCAGUUGACUCUUUUUGGUAGAUUAUUAAGCCAACUUUCAAAAUUGGAUUAUAAGGAAGUCAAUAUUUUCUUAUGGGUACUAAUGAUCCUUACUCAAACUCACAGUCUUUGUUGACACAAAGGUUUAAGGGAAAUAGAUUUAAUCAUUUGCUUGCAUAAUGGCAUUUAGGUGAAAGAACAAGAUUACAUAUGAAGUUAUGAUGAAUGUUUUCAAAAUCGGAUAGGUCACUAAACCGGAAAAGUUGUCGAUUGACGGUUCACUGGUCGAGCCAAAGAUUGAAUCGCAAUCGAACUAGUAAUGUAAUAAAUAUAUAAUUUAUAUACUAUUAAAAUUAAAAAUAAAUUUUGAAAAUUUAAAAUAUAUAUAUAAUUAAAAUUUUAAUAAUGUUUCCUUUUUCAUAUUUGAUAUGUCAAAUUAAAUGGUAAUGAUAAAUAUAAAUGUACUAAUAUAAUAAAUUUUAUUAAAUAGAACAUGUGUAAUAUUUAACCAUGAAAAUAUAAUUAAGAUGAAAAGAAAAUUUUAAUAUUUAAUUUUAUCUCUAUCUAUUUUAUUAUUUUAAAAUUUUAGAAAUUAUUAUACUACUUUUAUACUUAUCAUUAUAUAGUUGUUAUAAAAAUAAUUGUGAAUAUAAUAUAUAUAUAUAUAUAUAUUUGUUAAAUAGACUUAAAUGAUAAAAAUUUGAAAAAAAAAAUCAAUAUUUUAUAUAUUUUAUUUUAUUGAAACAUUUAUUAAGUUGGUUCCAUAGCCCAAUGGUCCAAGUAUUGGCCUUUUUAAUCCAAGAUCUGUGGUUCAAGCUUUCUUAAACAUUAUAAGUAAUCUCACAUUGGAAGUUUACAAAUUAUAUUUCCUGUAUAAAAACCUUGCUUAUUCUUGGAGCUUCAAACAUAUUGUUAGGGUGGAGUAUGUUAUGGGGCUGCAGUCAAAGCUCAUUAGGCCAUAAAUGAAAGGGGUUCACAUUAUGAUUUUGGUCAAAAUAUUAGUAUUGAUCGGUUCAAGAGAAAUGGGACAGUUUGUUUGGUUCGACAAUCAAACCAUCGAUUUGGAUGAUUCAAGACCAAUCUAACAUGGGAAUAAUUCAUUCCAGUCAACUAGACCGAAGAGCUGUGGAUUGACGAUUUGACCAAUUUAAUUAAUUGAUAUGAUUUGACUUUUAAUCAAAGGAGUCAUUGAGCCAAAGAUUGUGAGGUUUUGAGAAAUCUUUUAUAAAAAAGGAUUUGAGUUUGAGAAUAUCCAAACCCAAGAAUGGUUUUUAUUUGUUAUUGGGUCCUCUCAAACAUGCAUCAUGCUGGUAUAAUGACUCAAAUAAAUAUAAAAUAAAAUAAAAAUUUUAUUUUUAUUUUAUAGACUUGAUAAUUUUCACUUGUGAGAGCCGAAAGAAUAGAAUAAAUAUAAAAUAAAAAUUAUAAGAUAGUUUAGGUGACCUUUACAUACAUUUUUUGCAAAACUUCUAUAGAAAAAAAUCAUGAUUUAACCCAUGCUCUCCAAAGCUACUAUUAAAAUUUUAAAAAUUUGAAAUAAUUUAUAUAUAUUAAAAUUUUUUUUUUAACUUCUAUAAAAUAAAAAAAAUAAAAACCUAGAAAUUGACCUUAUGUUCUAAAACAGUAGUUACCAAAAUUUUUAAAAUUUGAGAUAGUAAAUUUUUUUUUCAAUACCUAUAUAUUUUUCUAAACUAUUUUUGAAAAUCAUUGUCUUGUUAAAUUAUGCAUCUUUCAGUGGCUAUUUUCUAUUUUCUAAAAAUAAAAAACAAAAAGGUCUCUAAAUACCACCAUCGAUUUUACAUUCAAUUUUUUAAGUCACUAAUAUUUAUAGAAAUUAUUAAAAUAUUUUUUUUUCCAAGAACAAAAAUUUAACUUGAAUGCAUUAAUAUUUUCAUUUAGUAAUAACUUUCACAAAUUAUGGAUUCGGAACAACAAAUUAGGACAAAUUAAAAGAUGUUUUAAGUAUUUUUUGCAAGACAUUUGAGAAAAAACUUUAAAAUAAAAAAGUACAUAUAUUAUUACGAAACCAAAGUGUCAAAGAAAGAGAGAUUUUCUCAUGAAAAUUGUUUUCUUUACAUCAUUCUCAGAAAAAUAAUUAAAUUUUUGUAACAAAAAUGUCCAGUAGUUAUUUAGUUACAAAAAUAAAAAUAAUUUUGUCUUUGGACCAUAGUUUGCAGGACUAUAUAUAUAUAUAGAGGAGAGUUGGGAGGUGUAAUUAAAUGUCCAAGGUCAUGUUUUGUUCAGAAGAUUAUUAAAAAAAAAAAAUGGAAGAAAAUCAUAUUUAAUUUUGUUGUGAAAGAAAUGAAAAAAUAAAAUAUAAUUAAAAUUAUACAAAAAUGUGUACAUUUUGAAAUCAUUUGACUUUUAUAAAAACAAGAAACAAAUUAAAAUAAUAUAUAAAAAUAAUUUAUUGAUUUUAAACUUAUUUUUAAAAUUUUUUUUAACUUUCUAUCUUUUUUUAAAAGAAAAUUCUCUGUUUUCUUUUUCUAACACUUUUCCUCGGAUUUUUAGAAACUAAACCUAACCUUAAAAAAUAAAAAUAAAAAUAGUAUAUGGACAGGAUGAGAUUUUAAACUGACGUAUCAAGCCAUCAAGCCAUAGUCUGCAUUAAACUUAGGCUUAGGGCUGAGUUUUAGCUAAGAGUUAAAUUCCAAGUAUGGGCCAAGCCUAAUGACUUUUCUUAUUUGGGAUAAUUGUUGAGCAUGGAGUGGGCACAUCAACUAUCCCAUCACAAACUAAAUUGUGUCCCACUAAAUUAUUUUAUCGAAGGAAACAUUUUAAACAAAAAAAAUUAUUCAUCCUAAAUGAAUCUAUGAACAUGUUUGUAAUUGUAUUGUUUUUUGUUUUAAGUAUUCAUACUUUAUCUAAAAAAACUUUCAAAAAUAUAUAAAAAUAGGAAAAACAAAUCAAACUCCUGUCAAAAUCUCUGGAAUAAAAGUUUGUUCUUUAAUGACAAAAAAUAUCCUUAUGAAAAUAACUCAAUAUUUUAAAAAUCGGAUUGAACAUUAAACCGAAAAAGUUACUAAUUAAUGUUUCACUAAUCAGACUGAUAGUCGAAUCGAGGUCAGACCAAUAAUCAAAUCAGAAUCAAAUGGGUGGUCGAACCGAGGUCAAAUCCGUAACGUCAUAAAUGUAUAAUUUAUAUUUUCUUAAAAUUAAAAAUAAUGUUAAAAUAUUUAAAAUAUAUAUAAUUAAAAAUUAAAAAUAUUUAUAAUAUUAUUUAUUCAUUUUUAUAUAAAUGUAUUAAUAUUUUAAAUUUUAUUAAACAAAAUAUAUACAAUAUUUUAAAUAUAAAAAUAUAUUGAAAAUGGAAAAAAAAUCAUAUUAUAUAUAUAUAUAUAUAUAUAUUUGUGGACCCCGCAUUUCGGCUCAUGCGUUUCCCACUCGAAUGGCGAACUCGAUUUUUGUUUUCGAAAAAAAUGAUAUUUCUUGAUUAAGAAAAAUUGACUUGGAGUCGCCACUUAUUUUUGUUUUAUUUUUAAAGGGUAAACAAAAUAAGAAAGAAAAACCCUAAGUGUGACUCCUUGUUUUGGAAAAGGUGAUCUAUGAAAACCGGAUCGGGUUCGGGGGUCGGGUUACUUAUCGGGAAGGUACGGUAGAGACCGUAGCACCCCUCUAAGUCCCUAAAGUCGGGUCUCUACUAAUAAAGUGAAACUGACGUGGCAAUCGAAUAAGAAAGUCAAUGGAUACUCACAUCAAUCAUGCAUAUAUGAGAAUCAGAAUAUGUACUGUGUAUGAUCAGAAUGGGUGAAUGCGUACCUGGGCAGCAAACAGCAACGCGCUAUCAAGAAACGGGAUUAGUGCACAAUUAAUGAAUACAAAAUAUAGCCUAUGCAUAUCGGAGUGUGAAACGAAGCUCAAGCGAGAUACAUUAAGCACGACAAUUGACAGUCAAAAAGGGAUCAAACAUGGGGUCCCCAACAAAGCCCGAUUUAUUGUUCAUGAGCUAAUCCCACAAAUCACGUGUUUUGGAAUUAUGAAGGAAUCAUUAUUUGCUUAUGUAAAGUCAAGAAGAUCAGAAGAUUAUUUAGGAACUGAAAUGUGAUUAAAGAUUAUUCGAGUGAAAACUGGAUUAUUGGAGCUUAUUUGAAAAUUGGAGUAUUUUGAAUUAAAUUUUAAAGAUUAGAGCUCCGGUGAUUAAAGUGGAAUUUGUUAAAGAAAAUGAGAAACGGACUUUAGGAAAUUGAACUGCUAGAAUAUAGAUUUUUGAUAAUAAUAAUAAUAAGAUUUUUGAAUAAUAGUAAUAAGAAAUGAACUUCAGGAAAUUGAACGGCUAGAGUAUAGAUUUUUAAUAAUGAUAAUAAUAAUAAGAAACGAACUUUAGGAAAUUAAAUUGCAAGGAUAUAGAUUUUUAAUAAUAAUAAUAAUAAUAAUGAAAAUAAUAACAAGGAGGUUUUGAAAUAAUAAUAAUAACAAUAAUGAUAACAAGAUUUUGAAAGUUGAAUUAAUAAUAAUAAUAAUAAUAAUAAUAAUAAUAAUAAUAAUAAUAAUAAUAAUAAGAUUUUUGAAUAAUAAUAAUAAUAAUAAUAAGGUUUUGAAAGUUGAAUUAAUAAUAAUAAUAAUAAUGAGAUUUUUUGAAAAGUUUGGAUUGAUGAUGAUAAGAAUAAUAGUAAAUAGGUGAUGAAAGUGUGAAUUAAUAACAAUGAUAAUAAUAAGGUUUUUGAAAGUUUGGAUUAAUGAUAAAUGGGUGAUGAAAGUUGAGUUAAUAAUAAUAAUAAUAAGAUUAUGGAAGUUUGGAUUAAUGAUAAUAAUAAAUGGAUUUUGGAAGUUGAGUUAGUAAUAAUAAUAAUAAUGAGAUUUUUGAAAAGUUGGGUUAGUAAUAAUAAUAAUAGGACUUUGAAAGUUUGGAUUAAUGAUAAUAAUAAUAAUAAUAAAUAGAUUUUGAAAGUUGAAUUAAUGGUGAUAAUAAUGAUGAGAUUUUUGAAAGUUUGGAUUAAUGGUGAUAAUAAUAAUAAUAAAUAGACUUUGAAAGUUGAGUUAAUAAUAAUAAUAGUAAUGAGAUUUAUGAAAGUUGAGUUAGUAAUAAUAAUAGUAGGAUUUUGAAAUUUGGAUUCAUGAUAAUAAGAAUAAAUAGAUUUUGAAAGUUGAAGUAAUAAUAAUAGUAAUUAGAUUUUGAGAGUUGAAUUAAUAAUAAUCAUAGUGAUAGUAAUAAUAAUAAUGACAAGAAUAAUGAUAAUAACAAUAAUAAUAAUAGUAACAAUGAUAACAAUGAUAAUAAACAAUAAUAACAAUAAUAAUAAUAACAAUGAUGAUAACAAUUAAUAAUAAUGAUAAUGAUAAUAAUAAUAAUAAUAAUAAUAAUAAUAACAAUGAUAAUAAUGAUAAUAAACAAUAAUAACAAUAAUAAUAAUAACAAUAAUGAUGACAAUAAUUAAUAAUAUUAAUAAUAAAUGAUAACAUGCAUCCAUCAAGCCCAAAGCCCAUAAGCCCGGAUCCACUAGCAAGCCCCAUCUUCAUCAAGCCCAAACCCAUAAUAAUAAUAAAAUCACCCUAGCAACCCUGGUCUAGUCCAAGUCCAUCAGCAAAGCCCAAGCCCAAAUCCAAACCUCCAAGUCCAGCAGCAAGCUUUCAAGCCCAAAUCCAAACCUCCAAGUCCACCAGCAAGCUUUCAAGUCAUCUUCUUCCUCACCUCCGGAGACGGCGACGGAGGAAAUGAAGGUGAGAGAGGCAACGCCGGAGAGCCUCGAAAUCUGUCCAAGAUGCCCGGUUUCCGCGCCGCCACCUCGAUUAUCGCCACCCGUGCCGCAUCCGCCGUCGCGUUCCAGCGUCGACGUUCAUGAGAGGAGCCCGCAGCUGCAGCCUGGUGUCUGCGCACGAGGAUGGAGCCAGCAGCCGCGGCCUUUGCAGGCGUGUGAGGGGCUUCUUCGGUCGAAUUUGGCCGUCUGGGGGGGGGGGGGGGGAAGCUCGCCACGUACGUCGUCGACGAUGCUGCUGCCACCGAGUUCCUGCAGCGGGCGGGCUGGGUAAAGCGCCUUCAAGGGGCGGCGACGACGAGGGGAGAGUCGGUGGCGACACCCUCACGUGGAACGUGAGGUGCAUGGGACUCGCCGGAACACCGUAGGAGAGCCUCAUGCUCCCAAAACUGCAUCCGGGGCUCUCCAUUUGCUAGGAUGAAUGGAGCUGGAGUGAGCAUCUCCAGCUGCCGUCCCGGUUGACGCCUUCUUCAAGCUCAAGGUAUGAGGAAACGGGAGGAAAAUGAUGAGGAAAAAAAUAGAGGAUAGGAGUGGAUGCAGAUAGAUAUGGGUGUGCUGUUAAGGUGGAAUGAGAAUGUGAACGGUGAGCUUAAUGGGUAUUUGAAUGAGCAAGGCUGGCAUGUGCGCAUGGGGCUUCAUGUGCAUGGGAAAGUUAGCAAUAAGCGGGUAGGAAAUGCAUGGAAGGGGUAGUGGCCGGAAUGAGAGAUGUGAGACGUGAGUGGUGUUGGACAUAAUGGGUAUGUGCGGCCAUAAGAUAAAAAACAGAGUAUCAAUAGCAAAGAGCCAACACAAAAAAAAAAAAAACAGAGUAUCCAAACACAUGAGCCUCAUCUUAUCUUGAAGUCAGAAGGUUCUCGUACAGGUGGGAAAACCGGGUUGAAACAAGACCCAAAGAUAUGGCUCAGGCAUCCAAGGGAGAGGUAAAAAGGAAUCGGAUCACUCUUAAAUGAAUUUCAUAGGAAGAACAAGGCACAUAUUAUUGAUAACACAGUCACAACAAUAACAAGGAAAACAGCUGCAAUAGGUAUGUGGUCCAGAAAACGCACCUGAUAAGCUUCCCUUCAACUGCCAAUCAGCAAGAAGACCCCUGCGUUCCUUCCUUUUCUUUCCCUUUUUCCUUUCGCCUUCCUUUCUCUUUUUCUUUCGCUUUCUUUUCUAGCUUCCUCUGUUUUUCUUCUCUUCUUGUCUUCCUCCGCAAGCCAGCCGUAUCCCGUCCCAUCUGCAGCCCCCAAAAGCUCUGCCUUCUCCCCUGCAGCUUCAGAGCCCCCAAACACAGCUCUCCCAUCAUGUCGAGCCCCGGGAAAUAAAAAUUAAAAUUAAAAAAAGGUCCCUGCUUCCGGGGGUCUACAAUAUUAUUUUUUGACACAACCUAUGUAAUUUAUUCCCUAUUAAAUUAUGAUACAAAAAAAAGAGUAGCAAAGUGGAGCAAUAAUCCUAUUGUGAACCUGUCGGUUCAAGCUCCCCUGCUUUUAUAAUUCCUUCCCAUUCACUGUGACAUGAGUGGCUAUUGGGCCAUGAAGCUCAGUGCAGCGCUAGUGGCCUUUUUGCAAAAUAAAAAAGCGGGCAUUGAAUGUUGGGCUGUGAAGGGAGGCUUAGCCCAUUUUGCUAAAAAAAAUUAAAAAUGGAGGUGUUGUUGAACUGUUCGGUUCUCGAAGAACCAUUCAGCUCACCCAGUUCAACUGCUAGUUUAAGCAGUUCGAGAUCGGUUCAUUAGAUGAAUGGUUCAAAACGGGCAACCGGACCGGAAAGGCCACCGGUUGGCUGUCGGACCGGCCAUUGUCCGGUUUUCAAAACACUGGAAUAACUUAACAUCCGACAUAAACCUACGAGCUUAUAAACCAUCUUAGUGUACAAAACCUUUAAUAUAAACCCACAUGUAUGCCAUAAGAGCACUCUAAAAUUCAAGUACAAAAUCUGCCAUCCGCAGCACGCUGAAUCUUUUCGCAUCUCCAUCAUGAAAGCUUCCAAGGUAGAGUCUAUGAAGAGAAUUUUCUAAGCAAUGCUUACCAGGCAACAAAAUUUGCCACCCUUUCUAUGCUUUGACUCCAUUGCAUCUUGACCAUGUCUUUUUGUUCCAAGCUGGAUUUCAUCAGUAAACGCCAAUAAAGAUCUCCAUCCUCUGGUUCAUCUAAUAAACCCAACCUACACACAAGUUUAGUAAUUGAACAAAGAGAAACACUGAUCAUUCAUGAAAGGUAUAUUGUUUUGAGCACCCACGAUUCAUGCAUAAGAUAUCCACUACAUUUAGUGUUGUUUGGUGAUUUCUAGCUACAAGAUUUAAUUUCUAAGAAAUGAGAAAGCCAUACAGACAAGAUCAAGCAAAUGCAUACCAUGAUAAGUGACUGUAAAUUCUUCAAACCAUCUAUUGAAACGUGACUGUAAAUUAGCAUACUCAAACAAUUAGAACAACAGAAAUCAUGUUCAAAAGACACUUCAUCCAUUUAUGCAUACUAUCGGUCUAUUUGUGAACACAGACAUAGUGCAAGGCAAGAACUCAAAGCUGUUCACAAAGGGACACAAGUCCACUAGUGCAAAAUUCUAGGUGAUGUGAGGCAAUGCACACAAAUUGCUAUUGGUCCAUUUGUGUGGACUCUACAUCACAUCAUGCACAUGUACAUGGUUAAUUUGCUACCAACCGGAUUAGGUUGUCUUUUCAAUUAGAAGUCGUUAUCAUUAGUUAUUGACUUGUAACAAACUUAUGUUUAAGAAUAUCUUAGGUAUAAAUGAGUAGAAAUGUGUUUUCUUUUAUCCAUCCUAAAGAGAAUAUACAUGGUCUUGGUAGAUAGAUCAUUGUAAGAAAUAAUCUAAAAAAGAAAAGAAAUUCUUGAGUGAAUCUAACUGAAUAAGUACCCUUUUUUUUGGCCAUGAGGGAAAGGGUGAGAGAGAGCCUUCUAUUUUGUGCAAAAGAGAGAAACAAAGGUUCAAUAUCAUUGACUAGUAAAGCAUUUGUGGAUUCUUUUCUUGUGGAUAUAAGUGAUCUUCAUCAAACCACGAAGCAUCUUGGUGUUGUGAUUGUACUUUAUUUUUUGUUGUAUUUAAGUUAUUGGGCUUAUUUAAUUGAUCUUGUUGAUGUAAAAUCCCCUUAACAAACUGUUAUGAGAGCCUGUAGAUGGAUUUAACAAAGGUUGAUAUUCAAUCAGAAGAAUGAUUUGGCACUAUGGAGAAUGGAGAUGAUAGCAUCACUAGUUAAGAGGCCUUCAAGAAGUUCCUAGGAGUAAACUUACCAAGUUCUUUAUCCUUUGAGGACAAGACCAAGAUCCCUGAUAAAGCAUACAAUGUUGUCUUUUCGAGUCUUAGUGAUAAGAUGUUAUGUGAAGUCUUAAAGGAGUCAACUAUAGCUUUGAUAUGGUUGAAAUUGAAGCAUCUGCUCGUGGCAAAAUCUUUGACAAAUAGACUAUACUAAAAGUAGAAAAUGGCAUAACAGGUUGAAGACUGUAUUGACAACCUCAAUAAUAUCAAAUUAGAUCUUGAAAAUAGUAAAGUGAAGAUUGAAGAUAAAGACCAAGCAAUAAUCCUCUCAAAUUCAUUGUCUGAGUUAAAUAAGCACUUUGUAGACACCAUGAUCUAUGGUAGAGGGUAUUUAUUUAUGCAAGAAGUAUAGGAUGCCCUAAAUUCUAAGGAGUUGAAGAAGAAAUGUUAUAAGAAUAAAGAAGAUGACUCAGGGGUGAGGGGCACACACUGAGAUGGUGAUCUUGUAAGAAACUUUUUUAGGAUAUAUAUAGACCAAGGUCAAGGUUGAAAUAUAAGUACAUAAUGUUUUCUCUAUCAUAAAGAAUGCCAUGUAAAGAAAGAUUAUCCAAAAAGAUAACUUCAAGGACCCUGAAGAUAUUGGCACUACAUCAAAGGGGUAUGAAAGCACUAAGGUAUUAUCCAUUUCAAAAUCUAUUGAAAAUAAUUAAAUGAAUUAUUGAUUUUGGUCACACUUCUCACAUGUUUCCAAAUCAAUCUUGAUUUUCUUCUAUUAAAUGAUUGAUGGGGACUAAGUGUUGCUGGGAAACAAUAAGGCAUGUCACGUGAUUGGAGUAGGAGUUACAAAAAUCAAGAUAGCAGAUUGGGUUGAAAGCAUAUUGUAGGUGAGAGGCAUAUGCUUGAAUUGAAGAGUAAUCUAAUUUCACUGAGAAUGUUGGACAAAAGUGUAAAGGAGAAGAUGGAGACUUGAAGGUAAUUAAAGGAUCACUACAACUUCAAGGAAUAUAUAUUCUAGACAAAGUAAAGUUUUUGACACAUAGACUUAUAUAUCAGUGAAAAGAGUGGUCUAAAUAAAGUAAACAAAAUCUUCUUUGGGGAGAUAAUAUGAGUAAGUUGGAAUUUUCGGAAGAUUGCAUUUAUGGUGAGAUUUAUAGAAUUAAAUUCAAUAUAGAAAAUCAAAGGACAAAGGAAACUCUCGAUUAUGUUCAAUUAAAUAUUUUGGGCCAACAAGGAUUGAUUCUUUGAGUGAUUAGAUAUACCUUACAUUGAUUGAUGAUUAUCAAAGAAGAGUAUGGGUGUAUAUAAAAUCUAAAUGCAACAACUGUAUAGAGGGCUCUAUAGAAAAGGGAAGGAGAACCAUGUAUGCAUGCUUAUCAUAGUAUGGCUUAAAGCAGUUUCCAAGGCAUUGGUACAACAGGUUUGAUAUAUUCCAAUUGAAAUAUAGUUUUAAAAAAAUGUGGAUGUGAUAGUUUUUUUGUACUAUAAGAACCUCCUAUCUAAUACUGCCACUUAUUUUCCACUGUUUUUGUGUGCUAUAAGAAUGCCUUAUAAUGCCACUUAUUUGCUAAUCUAUGAUGACAUGUUCAUAGCAUCUAAUAGACUAAUUAAAGUCAUUUUUUUCAAAGUGAGUUAAAGACGAAGGAUCUUGGACUAGCCAAGAGGAUUCUAGGGAUUGAAAUCAUAAAGGUUCUUGAUAGGUUUGUGAUGUCAAGGGCAAAAUGGGAACAACAAUUAUGUUGUAUUUUAAGUUAUCCCAAGCUUAGUCACCUUGACUUGAAAUUGGGGAUAAGGAUUAUAUGGUAAAGGUACCCUAUGCUCGUGUAGUUGGAAGUAUCAUGUACGCCUUGAUGUGAUAAACCUAAUUUAUGUAAUGCUAUGAGUGUGAUCAGUAGGUAUGAAAAAUCUAGAAAAUGGAUUGCAAUGUUGUGAAAUAGCAACUAGGGCAUCUUCAAUAUAUUAAGGAUGUUGGAUUGAUGUAUUAGGGAGGGUAGAAUACAAGUCAAUAGGUUAAUAGCUAUGUGGAUUCUAAUUAUGCAAGAGACUUGGAUGGUAAGAGAUUAUUGACGUACAAGUUAUAUUUUUUAUUUAGGGAGAUUCAUAGUUUGCUAGACAGCCUCAUUAUAGUGCAUAGGUUCUCUUUCAAUCAUAGAGGUGGAAUAUAUGGCAAUAGCUAAAUCUAUCAAGGAAGCAAUUAUGCAGACAUAUACAAAGGUUGGUUAGUAACCUAAGCAUGAAGCAAGGGUCUGUAACAGUGUUUUAUGAUAGUCAAAGUGUAAUUUAUUAGUCCAAAAAUUAAAUAUAACAUGAGAGGAUAAAUCACAUUAAGGUAAGACUUCAUUUUAUCUUAGACAUAAACAUUGGGGGAGUAUUACACAUAAAGAAAAUCUUAACUCUUGGGAAUCCAAUAGAUAUAAUCGCAAAGGCCACAAUGUUUAAUUAGUUCAAGUAUUGCUUGGACUUAGUUUAUGUAAAAGGUUGCUAACUUAGGAAAUAGGAAAAGGCUAGUGUUGCAAGUGAUUUGAAUUCUACAACCAAUGUGGAGGAUUGUUGAGCAGUGAGUUUGAAAUAGCUUACUUAAACAAUAUGAACGAGUGAAAUCACAUUCAAAAGACGCUUUGUUCAUUUGUGUACAUUAGCAUAAAGUAAGGUAAGAGCUCAAAGGUGUGUACAAAGCGACAUGUUCCAUUUUGAAAACUUCAAGUGACGUAAGGUAAUGCACACUAAGUGGACAAGUCUCUUUGUGUGGUCUCUUCAGUACUUUGGGCACAUGCACUGGUUUUGCUACCAAUAAAGAUCAGGUUGUUUAUUCAAUUAAUGUUUAUUAUGAUUAGUUGUUCACUUCUAACAACUUUUAUUCAAGACAAAUGAGUACUAUUUUACUUAUUUUAAAGGGAAUCUAGAUCGCCUUGAUAGAUAGAUCAUUAUGAGAAAGAUUCUAAACACAAGAGAAAUGUUUGUGUAAAUAUAACUGGGAAGUGCUUCUAUGCUUUUCUAAUAGGAAAGUAUGAGAGAGAGUCCUGAAAGAAAAAAUGAAGGUCGUAUCUCAAUGAUCAAUUAUCAAACCUUUGUAGAUUCAUUUCAUAUGGAUAUAGGUGGUUUUCACUGAACCAGGUAAUAUCUGUGUUUUAAGUGUGCUGUAUUUUUUGUUGUGUUUUUGUGAUUCUUAGGUUUGUUUAAUUAACCUUGUUUGAGCAAAAUCUCCUCAACACCAUCCAAUAUAUCAAAGGAUUUCUUGACUAAAUUAUGAUUCCAAUUUGAAGUGCCUCAUAACAUGUAAUGAAAUAAUUGAAAAUCAUCUAAAAAUCUGAAAACGAGGUUUCAGAAAUCACAAACAUGAAUCAUUCUCUAAAGAUAUAGCUUAGAGAAGUUGUUUUAUAAUGGAGAAAGUAACAAACAAAAAAUGUAUUAAUACCAUGUAUAAGAAAGUAACAAAAAAACAUUUACGUAUUAGUACUAUGUAUCAUAGCUAGUCAUGUGUUUACUUUUAGCUAAUCUUAUGCUUCAAUCAGUACACAUGAGUUUGGACCCAAAAUUUAGUUGCCUAGAGUAUUGGCUAAAGGGGGAAAGAUGACAUAUUUUCAUGAAUAACCUUCCUGGUGAAGGUCAUAAAUCUAAUCAUAUCCCAGAUGGAUAAUUCGAAAAUUUUCUAUUAGAGUUGUUUUAACAUUUGAAAUUGCAUAAAGUAGUCAGCGAAAAGCUAAUAGGAACUACUGUAAAACGAUUUAUGCUAUAAUUCAUUCUCAUCUUCUAGAGUUUGUGUGCACUUUCAAAGUGCCAAAAUACCGAUAUCAAAUUAAUGAAGGCAUGUAUAAGAAAACAAUGGUUGUGAACUUGGCAACGUCAGGAAGAUGGUAAAAGAGUUAAAUAAUUAUAAAGGUAAAGUUGUGGCUUCAUGAUAAAUAUUUUAUAGUUUGGAGGAUACUUGGGAAAUCUUCUGUAAAUUGCAAGGAAUAUACAAGAAGUCUUCAAUUGAUUAAGCAAGAAGAACAUGUGGAAAGCACAACCAAUCCAUCUGCCUUAAUAUGUCUUCAAGUUGGUAAUUGAUGGUGGGGACUUUAGACAAAUGCAGAAUGACUAAAAAAGAAAUUGCUACCAUUGAUUCAAAUUCUAAUAAUAACUCAAAAAGAACUACCACUAAAGGUCAAAUGAAAAUCGCAUUAACAGGCACGAAAUACUAAAUCAGAGCAUGUUGGGAACUGAUUCAUUCAUUUUGCCUUUUACUAUAGGCACAAACUAAAGUACUAAAUGAUCAUAAUCUAUGGAUGGCCUUAAAUUGUAUCAAAGGUUUCCUGAAUAAAAACCAUGCUGAGACUACCUAGCACAGCCAUGGUUUGAAAUGGUAUAAGCUAUAGCCAUCAAGAUCAUAGAGUCUUGAAAAUUAACUUUUGUGGUCAUCUGCUUGGGUAACAAAAAUAGGGGUUUGAGGUAUGAGAAUAGGCCUUCAUGCUAAUUCUAUCUAUGGCAUUGGCAUCAGUUUUUGAGGUUUGUCCACAUUCAAUUGCAUGUUCUGCAAAUAAACAAGUGAAAAGUACUUUUGUAUUUCACUCUCAAAGCCUCCUUAUAAAGUACUUUUGUCCUACCAAGGUUGUUAGUGGGAUCAAAAUAAUCCUUUUUCUGUGAUUUUUGAGUAACACAAAAUCCCAAGCCAACAACAUUGGACAAACUCCCUAGGCUAACACCAAAUCCCAAGAACACACAAUCUCAAGCUUACUCCUUGAGCCAAUACCAAAUCCCGAGCCAACUCGAUCUUGGAUAUAUUUCUCGGGCUGACACCAAAUCCCAGCCACAUACAAUUUGAAGCCCUACUUCUUAAGGCAUCAUUUUCCUGGGAGAGGCAUUGUGGCCAACCUUUGGCUGGUGGUUGACCAAAUUAGAGAGGCCUUGAAAGAACCUUCAUUUUGAUGUCUGGGUGGAAGGAAUGAGGAAAAUCCAUGUACCAUAUGCCUUUCAUGCAUUUUGAACUUGUUCUAGAGGUUUCCGACCCAAAACCAUAAAAAAGACCAACAAAAUUAAGAUGGCCACCUCUAGUAUAACAUAAUGAAAACAGGGGAUGGCUGUGGUAUCCUAACAAAUCACUCGAUCAAAACGGUUUUCCUCUCCACUGCAGGGAACUCCUCCACUGCAGGAAAGAAGAAGAUUACAUUGCAUACGUUUCCAACAGAAUUGGCUAUUCCACUAAAAUUUAAUUUCUCAGUAUCUACGUAUCAAAACAGAGUGAUUUUUCAUUGAGAAAAGACGUACUUGGUUGUAGAUUUUGGUGAUUUGAUAAUCAUUUUUUUUUCAUACAAAACAUUUGAUUUUCAGUGCAGUCCAGAUCAAAGCCCUAAAAAUGCAAAGAUAAAACAGAAAGGUUGUUUAAAAUUAUCUCAGAUCAAUGACAUAAGAACAUAAUUCACUGUCAAAACUCCAAGAAAAAACCCAAGAAACUAAUAUUACCUGUCUCAAACCUCAAGAAUAGAAAGAAAGAUAUGACAAGAAUUGAUGUAUAAGAGCAGCAAUGCGAUCAGUUGAUAAGCCUUACUACCAACUGUCAUAUAAUGAAAAGGCAAACCUCCAUUAUCUCAGUUCUGAAACUUUCAAAUGCGAAUCAAAAUCUGAAUGGGUCAUGGUUAGAAUCAAAAUGGCCUGUGAUUGAGAAGGUGUAAAGUACCGUAACUUAUUAACCCAACAAUGACUCUAAAUUAGAGAUUGAGAAGGUGUUGUGCAGCUUAAUAUAAUUUAAUGACUUAAGUUAUUAAGUAGUUAAGCAUGUUUGGUAAAAAUAAUUUAAUAUCACAACUUUAAAUAAAAAUUAAUUUUAAAUAUUAAGUUAAAAUUGUUAACUUAUUCUUAAUUCAAAACCUUUUUGUCUCAUUUAUUCAUUUUUAGUGAAGGUAUAUUUUAUGACUAUGAUCCUGCAUUUACAACUCAUCUUUUAUAGUAAAUAUUUUUGUAGUUAACUUAUGCAUCUACAAUACUUUAAAAAAUAUUAAUGUUUAACAAAUAAAUUUAUUAUUUAGAAUUAGUNNNNNNNNNNNNNNNNNNNNNNNNNNNNNNNNNNNNNNNNNNNNNNNNNNNNNNNNNNNNNNNNNNNNNNNNNNNNNNNNNNNNNNNNNNNNNNNNNNNNUUUUUUAAUUUUUGGGAAUUUCAACCCCCCCCCCCCCCCCCCCUAAAGGCUAAUCUAUUCCUUUUCUUCCACACCGUCCAAAAAAUAGACAACGGAAUGGCAUCCCAAAUCUUUUUCCUUUCCUUUCCCACAAACGAACCCCUCCAACUAACUAAGACUUCCUUUACAGUUUCUGGGAAAACCCAUUUCACGUCAACUAAACCAAACACUAUAUCCCAUAGAACUCUAACCACUGUACAGUGUAUGAGUAUAUGAUUUACACUUUCUUCCUCACAACCACACAGAAAGCAGCGAUUUGGAAGUUGUAAUCCUCUUCUUUGAAGUCUAUCCAAAGUCAGCACCCUCCCCCACGUCGCCUCCCAUGCAAAAAAACAAACUUUAGUUGGCACCCUUGUCACCCAAAUGCUUCUUGAAGGAAAGCCUAUAUCAUCAGAUCUCACCAGCAAGUUAUACGCUUCCUUUACCCUGAAUUGCCCCCUUCUUCCUUUUUUCCAGAGGAUUGAGUCUUCUUCUCCAGAGGGUUUGUGACUCCUCAAAAUCUGAAGAAAAUCCCCAACCAACCCCAAUUCCCAAUCAUUGAAAUCCCUCAAAAAAUUUAGAUUCCAAUUUCCGUGACCCGAAUUUUGAUCCCACAUUUCCUCAACCAUUCAGUUCCUUUGAACCGCCAUAGCAAAGAGAUGAGGAAAACAAUGUGACAACGCUGUCUCUGAACACCACACAUCUGUCCAAAAUCUGAUUGUGUUUCCCUUCCCUACUUUGAAAAUCAUGUUAUUCCAGCACCAUUUUGAUUCUUUCCAAAUCUCCUUCCAAACCCCUACUCCCACCGCCCCCAUAGCCUUCUUUGGCCUCCACCCAAAAUCCUCCUGCCCAUACUUCACCUUGAUCACUUGUUUCCAAAUAUUAUCUUUGUCACAAGCAUACCUCCAUAUCCAUUUGUCAAGUAAUGCUUUGUUCAACAAGGUUAGCUUUCUAAUGCCUAGCCCACCUUUAGCCUUAUCUGUACAUACCACCUCCCAAUUAACCAAGUGAGUUUUCCCCUCCAUAUUUCCUCCUCCCCACAAAAAGUCCCUUUGCACUUUCUCAAGUCUUCUAGCCACCAUCUUGGGCAUCCUGAAGAUAGACAUUUGGUAGAUUGGCAUGCUAGCCAAAGUGCUUUUUAUUAAAGUGACUCUUCCCCCUUUAGAUAUAUAUUGCCUUUUCCAAAGAGCUAGUCUCCUCCUGACUCUCUCUUCCACCCCAUCCCACAUAUAAGGCGCUCUAUUGAGAACCCCUAAGGGUAGACCCAAGUACUGAGAAGGUAAAGACCCCACCCUGCACCCUAGCUCAACAGCCAACUCCUCCAUCCCCACCACCUCUCCCACUGGAAUGAUUUCACUCUUUGCUAGGUUAAUCUUUAACCCUAAUGCCGCUUCAAACCAAAAUAAAAUCCAACUUAAAUGAGUUAAAUGGUCCUUUCUGGCCUCACAGAAUAUGAUGGUAUCGUCAGCAAAGAACAAAUGAGAGAUAUGCAAUGGAGGUUCACUACCGCCCCUUAUGUUGCACCCUGAUAAGAAGCCCCCCUCCACAGCUCUCCUAAUAAGAACAUCCAACACUUCCAUUCCCAUAACAAAGAGAUAAAGAGACAAGGGAUCUCCUUGUCUAAGACCUUUGGGGCUAGGAAAGAAACCUGCAGGCACUCCAUUAACCAUCACUGAGAAUUUAGCUGAAGAUAGGCAACUCCGCAUCCACCCCACCCACUUAGACCCAAAGCCCAUUUUCUGCAACACCUUCAAUAGAAACUUCCAAUUGAUGUUGUCAUAAGCUUUUUCUAUAUCCAGUUUGCAUAUAAGACCCUUUUCUUUUCGUUUUUGCCAUGAGUCUAUCACUUCAUUUGCAAUUAGAGAAGCGUCAAGAAUUUGUCUUCCCCUCACAAAGGCAUUCUGAGAAUUAGAGACCACCUUACCAACCACUCUCUUCAAUCUGUUAGCCAGCACUUUAGCCAAUAACUUGUAAAGACCCCCUAAGAGACUAAUAGGUCUAAAGUCUCCAAGGUCCUCAGCACCACAUUUCUUGGGGAUCAAAACCAAAAAAGUAUUGUUAAGGCUUUUGAGGAAAGAGCUAUGAUCAUAGAAUUCCUUGAACAUUUCUAUAAUCUUCUCUUUAAUAAACUCCCAACAGCUUUGCCAAAAAGCCAGAGUAAAACCAUCCGGACCAGGGGCUUUAUCCCCAUUCAUCUCCAUCAGAGCCCCAUGAAUUUCCUCCUCUGUAAAGGGCCUCUCCAAUAUCUCAGCCUCUUCUUGACUGAUCUGAUCUAGCCGAAGACUCCCAAUAUCCGCCUUCCACCCCGUAUCUUCUGAAAGUAGCUCUUUAAACGCAUUAGCAAUUCCUUCUCUAAUUUCCUGCUCCUCUAGGAACCACUCUCCAUUAAUCUUAAUUCUCUCCAUACAAUUAUUUCUACGAUGAGCACUUGCCAUACGAUGAAAGAAACCCGUGUUUCUAUCCCCCUCUUUCAACCAUAUCUCCCUAGAAAGUUGUCUCCAGUGAGUUUCCUCCGUAAUCACCCAUUUUUUGUAAUUUUCUUUUGCCUCUUUCUUAAGUUCUGAUUCCUCCAUAGUCAGAAUUCUUUCAUUUUCCUCCCUAUCCCAGAAUUCCACUUGUUGCAAAGCUGCGGAUUUGUUGCUCUCCAGCUUACCAAAUACUUCUCUAUUCCACACUUUCAGCUUCUGUUUGAUUUCCUUCAUCUUAGUAGCCAACUUGUAGCUAGCACUACCCCUAACAUCAAUUCCUUGCCACCAAUUGCGUACAAGCUCUUUAAAGCCCUCAGCCUUAAGCCACAUAUUUUCAAAUCUGAAUGGGGUCGGGCCUCGUCUUAUCCCACCCCCCACUAGCAUAAUUGGGAAAUGAUCGGACACCGGACGGGGCAGCCUACACUGGUUAAUCCCACUGAACUGAUCUCUCCAACUAGGAGACACAAGAAACCUGUCCAAACGAGCCCAAGUCUGAUUAUUUAGACCCCCAUUCCAAGUAAAAUCUCCCCCCUGAAGAGGAAGAUCCACCAGCCCAAGAUCAUCCACAAUUUCAGCAAAAUUUCUCAUUGCUGAGCUAAUCCUCCUCUGCCCACUCCUUUCCCUUGAGAACAAAGUAAUGUUAAAAUCCCCCCCUAUGCACCAAGGAUCCUCCCACAGCCCUCUAAUCGCCCCAAACUCUUCCCAUAAAGCAUCCAUCUCUACCUUAGAAAAAGGGUCAUACACUCCCGUAAAAACCCAUACAUUCCCAUCUUCUACAUUGCGAAAUCUGCAGGACAAGGUAAACGCCCCUCCUCCCAAUCUAGCAUGUCCAGAGUCCUUCUAUCCCAGCAUAUAAAAAUACCUCCCGAAGCUCCCUCCGCAUUCAUUGCUUUCCAGCCUAGGAAUCUCCCGGAGCCCAUACUUCUCGCAAUGCUAUCCGUCAUACACUGCACUUUUGUCUCCUGAAUGCACAUUAAGUCCACCCUCUGAUUUCUUAUAAACGUCUUAAUUAUUUUUCUUUUGGAGCUAUCAUUUGCUCCCCUCACAUUCCAGCUCAGAAUUUUCACCUUCAUUGGACAAUUACAAUUUGGCGCCCUUUGCCCUGUACCAAGCCUUUCUGUUUCAACCCUCCCUCAUAGUUUAUGGAACAUUCUAAACGUUUUAACUCCCUUUCAAACUUAGACUUUUCCAGUAACUCUUUGCUAUGUAUUUUCUCCCUUCUUUUCCUGAUCUUCGUCAAAAAAUUUAGGAUUUCCUUCUCUAAUCCCUCCGUAGGGAAGCCCAGAAACUUGCUGAAUCUUGCCAAACCACUCUCUUCCCAGUUACCCUCCAGCUCACUUCUCACAACUUGAGCAUCAUCUAUAUCGCCUACCCCUUCCAUCUCCCUACCUUUGUCACUAUUGCAGUGGAUGUCUCCCAGUUCCUUACAUUCCUUAAUCCUUUCAUUGCAAGCCUUAUACACUGUUAACCACAUUGAAUUAUCGGCCCGACCCUCCUCAUCCAAAUCCCCAGAAUGAUCGAAAAACUCCCCCCCCCCCCCCGAGGUCCGAAAAAAAAAAAAAAAAUUGGAAAAAAGGUUCCCCUUUUCCCUUUUCCCCCGGGAACNNNNNNNNNNNNNNNNNNNNNNNNNNNNNNNNNNNNNNNNNNNNNNNNNNNNNNNNNNNNNNNNNNNNNNNNNNNNNNNNNNNNNNNNNNNNNNNNNNNNCCCCCCCCCCCCCCCCCAGAGUUCAAUCAAAAAGAAAAGAAUUAAGAUGAGAGUUCCCCAUUUCCCUUUUCCCCCAGGAACCAACCCCCUUUCCAUACCUCAUUGAUUCCUCUUCAAGCGCCCUAUCCGUCUCUGUCAACCUCACCCCUCCUUGUAGCUUCCUUGUAUCCUCAUUCUCCCUCGCAACAAAGAGCUCUGCUUCUGGAGGAUGGCUGGGCGCAGAACCCUUCAAAAUAAGGCCCAUCACCUCUUGGCCUGCUAAUAAAUUAGGGCCCUCCCUUAUUGUCCACCUUGACCGAGCUGCUGGGUGCAGGCCUUUGAACAAAACCGGCCUUUAUUUGUCAACUGGGCUAGAGACGAAGCUGGACCUUUAGAAUAGCAGCCCACAACUUCCGAUGGGCCUGCGUCUGGGCCAACAUCGCUUACAGCCACCCCUUUAUUCUUCAAGUCCAUGGGCCCAAACAUUAGGCUAAGCCCGCCCUCCCUCCUUGUUUCCUUUAGGCCCGCGAUUGGGCUUAAAGACUUCAUUUCACCAGAUGAGACCCAAUUACGGGUUGUCGGGCUUAAAUCUGGACUGGUCUCGACCCGACCCGACCCGCCCCCCUGCAGCACCGUCCCAUCGUCUGACGGGUGCAGCAUCUCGAACCUCUCGCUCCCCCAACCCUUCAUCACUCGCUGCCCCGCGUGUGAAUCCUCCUCACCCCUAACCUCCCUGCUAUGACGAUCAACUUUGUCCCUACACUUCCUCCUCAACACCGGCCAACAUUCCCACCAAAGGGACACAACAUAGCUUUCUUCCUCCCCUUCGAUUUCCAAUACGUUCGGUCUAGCUUCCCCUCCCCAUUUCACUAGGAUUCUGGCCCAUUGGAGAUCUCUUAUCGAUCUCGUAUUUUCAUCGGCGGUGAUAAAACCACCGCAUGCAUCCCCCACUCUCCUCAAAAUUUCUGGGCUCCAUAACGAAAUUGGGAGCCCAACAAUCCUUACCCAGACGUCCCUUCUCUCUUCCCCCUCUGCCCAACAUCCGCUCCUAGGGCUCCAAUGUUCCAACCUUACCUGGGUUCCUUCCCACGCGCAGCUCCCAGAGGAAACGACUCGUCUGGCCUCUUCCAAAUCCUCAAAUUCCAACAGCGCUUUCCUCUUGUUCAACUUAGCCAGCCCUAGGUUACCUUUGAGGUCCCAAGACUUUGCCCAGAAUUUCCCCCACUUCUCAAUAUCAUCUUCCCCCCCCUGGUCCAUCUCUCCAGCUCGCCACAACACAAUGUUUCAAUUUCUUUUUUAAAGGUUCUGACUCCUCUUUUUUCACCUUUACUGCAACAGCAUUUAAAUUACCCGUCGGCGACUUUCUCACCAUUGUUGCAUACGAUCGUCCCAUAGCAACUUUCUCCACAACCUUUCCCUUGUAUUUUUCAGGAUUUUUACCAAAAAACCCUAACACCUGUUUGAGCUUCUCCUCCAUGAUCGUCCACCCCCUCUUAUCCCUACGGCCUCUUGGGACGAAGAUGUAGAACCUCUUCCCCUCUACAUCAGAGACCCCUAACCGUAUAAACCCCCCCGCUCUGUUUGUCCCUCGAAUCAUGGAGUACACUCGCCCCUGCUCCUUUCAUUCCCUUCCCCAUCUGGUUUCUUUCUCACCCUUGAUACAGAGAUUCAACCCUUCCAAGAAGAACGUUAAACUCUCCGCUCCCAGUCGGACCCAUGACGAGGCCCCUCCCUUCUUCUCCACAAUGCAUCCUUGGAUCUUUCCUCUUCUAUCUUCCACUGCAAUCUCAAACUCCUUGGACUCCACUGUAAACCUACUCUCCUUCCUUCUGAUUUGCGACGCCGAUCUUAGUUAGAGUUAAUGAAAAUAAAUAUAUCAAUUUGAUAAUUUUGAAUAAAUUUUAAGUUAAUUUUACCAACAAAAAAAUAAAACUUUAAUAGUUAAAGUAAAAAAUAAAUAAUAAAUUUUAAGUCAACAAUUUAAGAAUAAUUUAACUUAAAGUUAACUUAAAUCAUUAAUUAAUAAGUAGAAAGUUUUACGAAACACCCAUUUAAUUUGUGUAUUGAGGUUUAACGAUAUUAUCAAACGAAGUUUACAGCAUAUAAUAAAUUUAAAAUUUAAAAUUUAAAUUUAAUAUGCAACAAGAAACUAAAAGCAACUUUAAAAUUUAAAUUUUUAAAAUUAGAAUAACUUUCAAGCACUUCAAAUGUGCAAGAUAAUAAAUUUUGUAAGGAAUAAUAAUAAAACAUAACAAGUGAAAAUGUAAAUUGCAUAUAAACUAGACAUGUACAUUCAGAGAAUGAAAUGACUUUGCCAUAUAGAAAUGAGAAGAAAGAGAGAGGUGACUCACCAAUAAGCUGACAUAAGCCACUCUUGGAGUUUAAGCAUUCUUGGAUGAGUUUAAGCAUGGGAUCCUUCCUCACAGUUCUCUCCUCCUCUUGGCCUCUUAGGUUGUGAUUCCUCAAGACAGUUAUAACGACUUCCAUCACUGCUUCUCUUGGCACUAGUAUACCUUGUUUGAUGGUUCACUUUCUUAUCUCGAGCGUAUAUAAGAUGGAUUCCACAGUUUUUCACCACAUGGGAUGCCCCAGAGAGACUAAAAUAAGCUGUAAUCUUCCUGGAUUUAUUGGGGCUACUGGACUUGGGUAUCAUAAGUUUAGCACCAGGUUGAUACACCAGCCAUAUGUGAUCGAUCAGUCUCAACCACUCUGUCUCCGCUGUGCGUCCAAGAGAUGGAACUAGUCAAAUAAGGCCCCUCUCUAAAUUCAAAAUUACAACAAAUCAGACCAGGGCCUUGAAUUAUUUCAUCCUCCUCAAGUGAGAACACAGAGCAUAGAGCAAAACCCAAGAAGUCCUUGUUAUGCCAAUUUGGAGGCAGCUCUAUUGUUACCGAGGAUCCGAUACUUGGAUGCUGGAACCACUCUGGAAUUGUACUUCCAGGAAGAACAAUACUGUAUUCAAUUUCUGGAAGAAAGUUCUGCAUCAAAAGAUAAAUAGAUAAAUAAAUAAUUAUAAUGUUUUAAGAUAUAAGACCAAAUUCAAACAUGAGAGAGUUAAACCUGAUGAAGUUUCUCCAGUAUAGUUGCCACAUUAUCCUGAGCUAGUGCGAAGCAAUUCGGCAGUUUGAAAGUUACAAGACGAAGGCAAGAGGAAGACGAUAGGAACUGUGGCGACUGUGGAGAUAGAACUGAUAAAGACUCAAGGGAUAUGCAAUCCCCAGCAUCUAAUAAUUUUAUACUUGGUGGGAGCUUGGAAAUUUCUUGAAGGCUUUUGCACUGAUUCACAGAAAUGACCCUUAGAUGAGAAAGUCUAUUCACCUCCUCAGGUACGGUAACCAAAUUGUUUCUGCUAAGGUUUAAUUCUUCCAAGAAGCGUAAGUGGCCAAGAUUGUCAUUGAUCGAUCUAUCGGUUAGAUUGCAGCCACUAAGAUCUAAAUAUUUUAAGGAGUAUAAACCUGACAAAUAAGGCAACUGCAAACCAGUCCCAUCUGAAUUUUCUCUAUGUAGUAACCUGAAUAGAAGGGAUGAAAUCCAGGAGUUAGAUGUUGAUCCUUUACAUCGCCUAAAGGAUAACUCUUUAAGGUUUCUCAAAUGAAAAAGUGAGAGAGGUGGUUGAGUUAUAGCAGUUCCAUCAGCUUGAAGUUUCAUCAAGAAUUGCAACCUCCCCAGGUCCUCUGGCAAUUUGCUGAGUUUUGAACAGCCAGAGACAAUGAGGGUUUCAAGGGAUCUCAAACUGCAAAUGCUAUUUGGAAGACUCCUGAGGUUUUUGCAUUUUCUCAUAUUUAAUAACUGAAGGCCUUUUAGAUGAACAAUUGAGGGGGACAGCUCUUUUAUAGAUGUUCCAUCUAAAAGAAGCUCUUGUAAACAUUCCAUAUCCUCCAUGAUUUCCGGAAAAAUCUCUAGACCUGAACAGCCAGAGAGCACCAGAGUUCCCAGGGAUUUCAAAGAAUAAAUGUUGCUUGGAAGAAUCAUAAGGUUUUUGCAGUUUUUCAUAUCCAAUAAAACAAGUCUUGGGAGAAACACCACUGAAGGGGGAAGUUCUACAAUAGCAGUCCCUUCCAAAUUAAGCUCCAACAAAUUUUCCAUACACCCUUGGAUCUCUGGAAACUUGUCAAUUUUAGAGCAGCCGGAGAGGUUAAGAACUUCAAGUGAUUCCAAUCCAGUGAUGCUUGGAAAAUAGUGAAGCAUCUUGCAGUUUUUCACAUUCAAGAUCGUAAGUCUCUUCAGCUUUGUAACUGAUGGGUGCACCUCAGGCAAACUCGUACAACCGUCAAGAAUUAGCCGCUCCACACGUGGUGCAAAAGACAAGUUUGGACAUUCCAGAAGGUGUUGAGAGUUACCGAGAUCGAUGACUACUAACUUUGGAAGACGCUGAAACAUAAAGUAAAUCAAAAUUAAAAUUCCCACUCAUUUGCUUCGAUGAACUUUAAACUUCGUUGAUAAAGAAGCAGCAAUCAUACCUUACGCCUUUUCCAGAGGUAUUUUAAGCUGCUAUGCCUCAAACUGAGUUCACCCAAUUUCUCACCAUCAAAAUUUGAUGGCAAUGACUCCAAAGUCCAUCCAUCCCAAUGGAGAUAUCUCAACUCAUGAGAAGGAAAUUUAAAAUCUCGAGGAAGAUGGACGGUGUUAGAAACUAUAGAAUUAUUUUCUGCAUUUUGAUAGACUCGGAGCAAUCUAAGUCUUGUCAUUUUUUUGAAAGCAUCAGAGGUAAGAUGCAUUUCAUUUGAUAGAGACAUGUUUAGGAAUAUGCCUUCAAUUCUCUCUGUCCCCUAAAAACCAUGAAGAAGGGAUUAGUAAAGAACAAAACCCAUAAAAUCUAACUAAAAACAUAUAGGUAAACAACUUUUUAACUGAAAAUCAAUGCCUUAAAAUCUAAAUAAGGUCAGGUACUUAAGCUCUUACCGUAUUUUUUGUCAAUACAUGAUGAACAUCUUCAGGAUCCCACAAUCUGCUCCAUUUUCCAGGUUCAUUAUGAUCUUGCUGCCGAACAAUUUCCCAACAAGCUUUUUGCAUCAAAUCAUGCAUCAAUAACUUCUUGUCAAAAAUACUAAUGAGAGAUCUGUCAUUAAGCACUCGCGUUCCGAGGCGACCAUACUCAAGUAUUCGUUCAACAAAAUCCAAGUCCUCUCCUUUGAAGAAGCAUGCAACAUCGAGGAAUACAUCUUUCAUAGAAUCAUCCAGUGUUUGAAAACAUCUCAUAAGCACAUUUUGGAUUUGCAUGUUAGGUCGUUUCUCCAGCCUUUGUAGUACACUUUUCCAUUCAAAUUUUUUCUUACCAAACAAGAGAGAACCUAGAACUUCAAGAGCUAUUGGAAGUCCCUUACAAUAAUCUACUAUGCAUCUCGAUAGGCCUAUAAAACCUUUUUGAGGACUGUUCAUGUGAAACGCAUGCAAAGAAAAGAGUUGUGUAGCUUCCUUACAAUUUAAUUCCUUAGCCUCAUAGAAUGCAUCCCCUCCCAACCCAGCAAGCAAAUUUUUGUUUCCAGAUGUUACAAUAAUUCUACUACCUGGACCAAAUGUACUGCGAUUUUGAAUUAAGGAUUCCAAUUGAAAAUAAGUAUUAACAUCAUCAAAAACAACAAGAACCUUUUUAGACAUAAACAUACGCCUUAUUUCAUAACUCCCUUCAGAAUUGUCGCUUAUGGUCGGAAUAUCUUCCCCUAGAAUAUCUCUAAGAAGUUGCUUUUGUAACUGAAGCAAACUCAAUUGUUGACUACUAAUAUUCAAAAGAAAGCUAGCACCAUCGAAUUGAUGAACAAUUGUGUUAUACACAACUUUGGCUAGAGUUGUCUUGCCUAUUCCAUCAAUUCCACUUAUCCCAAUCAUGCGGACAUCAUUUGAGUCAAUAUGUAUUAGCGAGGCCAUUUCCUUCAAACGACGUUCCAUUCCAAUCAGCUUAUCACCAACAUGUAAGAGUUUAAGAUUCCUACUUAAAAUGUCUUGAACAAUUCUCUGAAUAGCCUGUGAUUCAUACCUGCCAAUCAUAAACCAAUAUAACAACCUAUAAUGAGUUAGAAACUGUAAUAAACAAAGCAUGGAACUGAUGAUGAUGUUUAGUUUUCUUCACAACCGAACUAUAGCAAGCAUAAAUAUAUAUAGGAUUCCUUGAAGUGCAUGACAAAUCUAAAUUAAUUAACUUAUACCUUCACAUAUAUUUUCAUUAUGUUGUGCACCCAUUAUUAAAUGUAAAAGACCGGAUGAGUUUGUCUGUGCUCCUGUUUAGUGACUCCAAAUCAUUGAAGUUGAUUACUAGUAGCAAAUAUCAGUUUUGUUUCAACACACACAUGUAUCCAUGCGCCAAAUCCCAAUGACUAUUACUAUCAUGGAAAAAACUCAUGAAUAACUAGAAUGCUUAGAAAAAAUUUAUAUCCAACAAAAUUUCCUUGAUCAUAUGUUUGAUUUUGCCAACUUUUUUUCGAUCAAUGAUGAGGAGCUUGAAAGUAGUUAAAUUUUAAAAAUUAAUAAUUUCUACUAUAUUAAUUAUUUUCCAUUUUAGGUGUUCAUUUUUCUUGAAAGUUUCCAUUUGAAUAUCGCAUUGUUUCCUUGAAGAAAGGAUUAUUCCAGUGCAUGAAUACUAAAUGAAAUUCUAAUAUAUAGACGAGCAUGGAGAAUUCAAUUCAUAUAGUUGUAAAUGAAUGAAAGCAGCUGAAAGCAAAGAUUCAUACAUACCCAUCCUGCACAUGGUAUCCAGACAAAUUGGCUGCUUCCGUUAACGCCGCCUUCCAUCUCAUCACCUUAUCUUCCGGGACCUUCUGGUAUUUAUCAAAUGCUUCUCCAAAACUCCGCGUCUGAUUUCGCACAUCACAUGGAUCCACAUGGUAGAAAACUGGCACAACUAUCUGUCCCUUUUGUGUCUUGCACUCCAUGAUCUUGGCCAGCUCAUCCAAGCACCAUUUUGAGUGAGCAUAGGUUUUCGAAAAAACCACAAUACACAUCCUCGAUUCUUCAAUAGCCUUCAAGAGUGAUGACCCGAUCUCUUCUCCUCUAUGAAGUCCUUCAUUGUCUCUGAAGGUGCGGAUGCCCUUCUGUUGACACAAAGCGGAAUAAAGAUGAUCAGUAAAAGUGAAGCGAGUGUCUUCACCUCUAAAGCUCAAAAAGACGUCCCAACUCCAUCCAAGAGAAAAGUCACUUGAUCUUGUCGUUGGAGCCAUAGUCGGGGACGUUGUUCGUCCAAAAUUGCAAGACACUAAGAAAUUUUUGGGUUGUUAGUGUCAAAAUUACAAGAGAGUCUGAAGAUUUAUUUCUCUCUACCUUUUAACAUUGGAGAUUCCUCUAAUCUUCUUCUUUCUUUCUUUUUUCUUUUUUUUAUUUUAUUUUAUUUUUAUUCAAUGCACAGUAUUAGAAACAGAGGGCGAGACUUCCUGGAAUUGCUACUUCGGUUUCCUCACCUCUUUUUCCUCUUGGACAGUCAACUUUGGGCUGCUGCUUUUCCUUUUCUCACCUUUUUUGGCCCUUUUCUUUCCUGACUCUGGUACGUUUUUUCAUUUGGCACGAUGACGUCGGAGCUUUCAUCCCACGCUUUCUAAUUUUUUAUUUUUUUAAAAAUUCUAAAAACAGUUUUUAAUUUUGAAAAUAAAAACCCAGUUUUAAAAUUUUAGGGCACCAUUUAGUUAUUGUUUUCUGAAAAUAAUUUUUAAAAACAAAAUAAAAUUGAGAUGAAUGCCUUCUUUACAACUCUAUAUUGAAAAUUUUCAAAAAUAUGAUAUUUUCUAUCAAUUACAAGUGCUGUUCUAAAUUUCCUUUUAAUUUUUCUAAAUUUUUUCAUUAGCCAAAUAGGUUUAAAUCAAACCACACCUAAUACAUAAAAAUUAACAUUACAAAAUCAAAAAGGUCCAAAUUGAUCCGAUUAACAUUAUAAAGUUAUAAACUAAAAUACAUUUUAAAUGAAUUUACUGUUUGUCUCUUCAUAUAUAAUCAUAUUUUUUCAGAUUUUUUUAUUGUAAAUAGUGAACGAAACUGAUUACAACUAGAAACUCAUGGAUUUAAAUAGGUAUAAAAUGAUUUUAUUAUAUCUUUUUUACAUAUAAUUAUAUUUUUAUAAAUUUUCUCAUUAAAUAAACUUCAAAUCAAGAGAGGUUUUAUGUGUUAUAUUCAUUAAUAAGUCUAAUAAUUUUUAAAAAUAAAUCUAAUUAUCAAUAAAAAUAAUAGACCAAAAGUGGUAUAAUAUCAUGAAUUUAUUGUUUUUUUUAUACAUACAAUUGUAUUUUCUAAAUUUUUUAGUUAAAUAAAUAAAUUAUAAAUUAAGUAAGAUAUAAUUAAUAUUUAAAUUCUUUAAUCUUUAAAUUUUUAAGAAUAAAUUGGAAUUCAAAAAACUAACCUAAUUUAUUGUAAACCAAAUCAAAACCAAUGCAAAAUAAAUAAGAAUUAAAUAUAUAAGUGUAAUGACAAACUUGACACAUAUACAUUUUAGAAAAUAAAUUCAUUUUAAAUAAAAUAUUAUUUUAUAUUUUUAAGAAAAAAAAUUAAUUAUAUUUUAUGAAGGAAAAACUAUUUAUUUGUAAUUAUAAAAUUAUUUUUAUUUUUAAUAGGACCAAUUUAAUAGAUAUUAUAUAAUUAAAUUUAAGCAGGUACCUGGAUGCCACGCUGCUUAAAAGUAUACCAGUAAGUUGAAAAACAAAGUCUUGGUCAAAAAGAAAAAGCUUGUAGGGACGUUGAACGGGGAAAAUUCCUCUCCCAUUAGACAACUUAUUAUUCUUUCCCUUCCACCUAUAACUAUAUUUUGUAAACUAAAUAAAAAAUAAUCAAGAAUACUUUGUCCAUAACUUAAUACUAAAUAUGUGUAUGUAAUGAAAAAUAUAGUUGAUUUACAUGUUGAUAAAUACAAUUAUUAUUAUUUAUUUUUAACCAAAAAAAAAAUCAAUUGUGCUUUUAUGAAAAUAUUAAUAAUCAUAGUUUAUGGAACAAAUUAAAAUAGUAUUUUUUUUAUAAAAAAAAUAUAAUUUAUGAUUUUAUUAUAAUAUUACUAUUCAUAUUUUUUAAUUUAUUUAUAAUUAUAAAAGUAUUUUUAUUUUUUAUAAGAUUUGAAUUAAAUUUAAUUAAUAUAAAUAUAACUUGAAUUUAUAAUUUUUUUUUUGCAAAAUCAAAAUAGAAACAUUAUCUUUUAAAACAACUCACCCAAACAAAUUUUUUGCAUUUUAUUUUUUAAUAUUAUUUUUAAAAACAACUUCCAAACACUCUUCUUUUUAUAAAAUGAGUUUAUUAUUUCUCCUUUACACAUAAUUAUAUUUUUAUGAAUUUUCCCACUAAAAUAAACUUCAAAUCAAGAGAGGCCUUAUGUGUUAUAUUUAUCAAUAAAUCUAAUAAUUUUUUAAAAAUAAUUUAAAACUUAAAAAUAAAUCGAAUUACUCGUAGUAAUAAUCGACCAAAAGUGGUAUAAUAUCGUGAAAAUUAUUUUUGAAAAUUCAUAACGAAAUUUGACCAAUGUUUUUUUAUUUUUUAAACAAACUAAAAUCAAAAACAGUUUUUAGAUGAUUAGUACAAAUUGUUUUCAUAAAUUUUAAAAACAAAAGGAAAAUAUCAAGAAAUAAAAAAAAAUAGAAAGUAAAUAAAAAAGAACAACCCAGUAUAAUAUUAGUUUAUAACAUCUUCAAAUACAUGUUUUUUCUGAUUUUUCUUAAUUUCUCUAAAAAAAAUUUAUUAGGCAAAUAGAUUUGACAUCAAACCACGCCCAAUAUCUAAAUGUUAUUAAACUUAAAAAUAAAUUAAAACUCAAAAACAAAUUCAAUUAGUGCUAGAAAGUCAUCCUUUCCCCCUUUUUUUUUUUUUGAUAAAUUUUUAACUAACUCAAAUCAUUAAAAAAAGAAAUCCUUAGUAGAUAAAUUUACAACAUUUCAUAUAGUUUAUUACAAAAAAUUAUGUUCAAAACCUUAUUUAAAGAAAGAAAAAAGAAUAUUAAAAGAAAAUUUAAACUUUUUAUAUUAGAAUAAUAAAAAAAAAUUAAGCUUUAAAAUGCUUUUUUUAGUAUAAAAGAAAAAAAAUAGUGAAUAUAUUUAUUUUAAAUAGUAUUUUAAUUAUUAAAUUAUUUAUUUUCAAAAUACAAAAUAUCGUUUUUAUUAAUUUAAAUUAAUAUAUUUUUUAAAAUAAGUUUUAAAUUAUUAAUGUAUUUUUUGUUUAUUUAUAAUUUAAAAAUAAAAAUUAAUAUUGAUUUUCAACCUUAAUCAAAUGAGUUGGCAUUUCAUAUCCUCACAAUCAAUAAUCGGUGAUAUUUCGUAUUUUACCAUCAAUAAUAGGUGAUAGGAGUACCGCGAGCCGUUCUGAGGCCCAAAUGCCCUGAAAGCACAUUUCCAGCUGGCCUGAAAGCACAGUUCAAGAGGUGUGGUUACUUUCUAUCUUUGUCUUUGACAUCGCAACGUCACUUCUCUGACACCAUUGGUAGAAGAGAUGGAAAGAGGCAAUACAAUUCUGUCUUUGUUGUAGCAUUCAUUGGAGGGAAUGAUGGGCAAGACAACCACAACCGAGAUUUUCAGAAAAGAUUAAAAAAGAAAUAUUAAAAGAUAAUGGGGAGAGAUGGCCUCAAAUUAAUAAAAUGUUCGUAUAACUCUUUAAAUUGAGUUAAAGGAUAUGAAAUAAUAACAGAUAAAUAUACCUUUUAGAACACAUAUAAAAUAUUUUAUAAAAUUAAGUUAAAUAAUUUUUUUUCAAUAAUUUUUUUUUCAAAAAUACUAAAUUAAAUAAAAGUAGCUUUCAAAAAUAUUAAAUUAAAUAAUUUUUUUUUCAAAAAUAUUAAAUUAAAUUAAAGUAUUUAAAAAAAUAUUAAAUUAAAUUUUUAAAAAAAAUAUUAAAUUAAAUAUUUUUUUAAAUAUUAAAUUAAAUAAAUUUAUUUUUUAAAAAUAUUAAAUUAAAUAAAAGUAUUUUAAAAAAUAUUAAAUUAUAUAAAAAAAAAUUUAAAAAAAUAUUAAAUUAAAUAAAAAAUAUUAAAUUAAAUAAAAGUAUUUUUCAAAAAUAUUAAUUUUUUUCUCAAAAUCAACAAAGGGCAUUUUUGGAAAUACUGAAGGAUGAUAUCCUUCAACUCAAUUUUCAUACUUUCAUUGGGUCUUGGACUCAAUUUGAAGAGUUACAUGGACCUUUUUGUUAAUUUGGAGGUCCAUCUACCCCCAAAACAUAAUUCUUCCAAGAUAAUAAGGGUUAUCAAAUUUAUAGUCAUCCCAUAAUUUUAAUUGUGUACUUUGAUUAUCUUUUUCUUUUAUCCUCAUUUAAUUUUAUUUUUCUUAAUUUUUUAUCUUUUAUAUACCAUAAAUUAAAACUAAUUAUAUUAUUAUUAUUAUUAUUAUUAUUAUUAUUAUUAUUAUCUAUCAUCAUAAAUAUUAUAUUGUAGACCUCUCUUUGGAUCGGGAGGAGCUGAGAUUUUUUCGACCUCCACAAGUGUUCAAAGCCGCAUGCAUGGGACGUGUGUCAAAGACAUGACCACCUUGCCAUGGUGGUGGUUAGGGAUGAAGACUUUUUUGCUAAACAGGGAGCAGUAGAGUAGCUUGGAGAGGGUAAAAACAGGAAGGAUUGCAGGUAAGGGAGGUCGAGUGGGGUUAGAGAAAAAGUAGGAGCUAGGGGUCACUCAAGAUUAUGGUAGAAGAUACUCAAGGGGCUGGAACUCAUGGAUGGAAGCGAGAUUUCAGAUGAGGAGUGAGCUGUUUGGGAGGGCAAGGAAGAGGAAAGUGAGGAGGAAAGUUUAUGUAAAAUAAAAGGAAAAGAAUAUUUUCCUUUUUAUUGAAUUAUACUAUUGAAUCAGGAGACGUAGCUUUAUACAAGAGAUUUCCUACAAUCAUGUUAAUCAUGCUAAUAUAUUCUUGGUAGUCUAAAUAUAAAAGGCAACUAAUACAAUAUGGUUGGAUAUUUUUGUCAAUGGAAAGCCAGAUGUCAUUGACCUUCUCAACACUCCCCUCAAGUUGGAAAGUGAAUGUCAAGAACUCCCAACUUGCGCAUCAUAGUUGAGAAAGCUUCCUUUCCCAAUGACUUGGUGAAUACAUCUGCAAGUUCAUUCUUUGAAGCAACAUGUUUGGUUACAAUUGAACCAUCUUGUAUUUUGUCAUGAAUAAAAUGGCAAUCCAUCUCUAUAUGUCUGGUUCUUUCAUGGAAAACAGGAUUGGUUGCUAUAUGGAAUGCGAUUGUGUUAUCACAAUACAACAAUGUUGGCUUCGGAUGCAAUAUUCUCAAAUCUGUCAAUAACGAGCACAACCAGGAUAAUUCACAACAUGCACCUAUCAUAGUUCUAUAUUCGGCUUAUACUGAGGAGAGAGAUACGUUUUUAUGUCUCUUUGUCGACCAAGAAAUAAGAGAAGAUCCUAGAAAAACAUAAUAACCUGGAGUGGAUCUAUGAGAUAUUGGACAACCAGCCCAAUCUGAAUCAGAAAAAGCUCGCAAAGAUAAAUCAUUAUGAGAAGGGAAAAAUAGACCUUGUCCUGGACUACUUUUCAAAUAACGCAACACACGUAAGGUAGCUUCCAUGUGUGGUUUGCGUGGUGCAUGCAUGAAUCUACUUAACAUAUGGACCGAAUAGGUGAUAUCUAGCCAGGUAAUAGUCAAAUAAAUUAUGCGUCCAACAAGUUGUUUAUACUAAGAUGGAUCUUUAAGCAAUUCACCUGAAUCUGAGAGCUUUAUGUUUUGUUCCAUGGGAAAGCUCACAGGUUUAGCACCCAAAAAACCACCAUCUUUUAAAAUUUCCAAAGCAUAUUUUCGUUGUGAGAUGGAAAUAUCUUUCUUUGAUCAAGAAACUUCGAUGCCCAAAAAAUACUUCAAAUCACCCAAAUCUUUAAUCUGAAAAUGACUAUAAAGAAAUUGCUUGAGUGCUAAUAUGUCUUUGACAUUAUUACCCGUAAUAAGAAUGUCAUCAACAUAUAUUAACAAAGUUGUAAAAGAUUUGCCUUUCUGACAUGUGAAUAACGAGUAAUCAACUUUGGAUUGAGUAAAUCUAGCAGCUUGGAUAACUGUAGAGAACUUGGAAAACAAUUGUCGUGAAGUCUGCUUUAAACCAUACAACGACUUGUGAAGGCGACACACUUGAUUCUCCCCCUAUCGUUGAAGACCAGGAAGUGAAGUCAUAUAAAUUUUUUCAUAGAGAUCACCAUGAAGAAAUGCAUUGUUGACAUCAAGUUGGUGAAGACACCAAUUUUGGGCAGCUGCUAAAGCUAAUAAACAACAGAUAGUAAUCAUUUUAGCAGUGGGAGAAAAAAUGUCAUGAUAAUCUAAACCUUCCAGUUGUGUGUAACCUCUCGCAACUAAAUGAGCUUUGAAAUGCUCAAUAGUGCCAUCUGAGUGCCGUUUGAUUUUAGAAACCCAACGACAACCAAUAGGCUUUUUACCAGGAGGAAGAGAAGUGAGGGACCAAGUGUGGUUGGCAUCUAAAGUGACCAAUUCAGAUUGCUUUACUUUUUUCCAAUGGGGAUGAAAGACCGCUUCUGUAGACUCAAUAUCUUGACAGACAGUAGCAAUAAAGGAGCGAUGUUGUGGUGAGUAAUGAUAAUAAGAGACAAAAUGGCAAAGGGAAUAUCGCGUACCUUUUUCUGGACUUGAUGACAAAGGCGAAAAAUGGUUGGGAGACCAUUUUCAUUUUAUUUUAUUUUUCUUAAUUUUUUAUCUUUUAUAUUUUAUAUACAAUACAUUAGCACUAAUUAUAUUAUUAUAAUUAAUAUAAAUAUAACUUGAAUUUAUAAUUUUUUUGCAAAAUCAAAAUAGAAAUAUUAAUUUUUAAAAACAACCCACCCAAACAGAUUUUUUGCUUUUUAUUUUUUAAUACUAUUUUUAAAAACAACUUUCAAACACUUUUCCUUUUAGAAAAUAUUAAAAAAUUGUUUUUUUUUCUCUUUAACUUAGAAAACGUUGUGAAACCACCUAAGUACUUAGGAAUUCUUGUCAAGUUAUUACUAUUUUUUUUUUCAAAAUUUAUUUUAGGUUUCUAAAAACUUUUUUCAAAAAUUUUAAAAUGAAAAUGUUUUACUUCCUUAAAUUUUAAAAAUUGUUUUUAAUUGCAGAAGGUAUAUAUAUAUAUAAAGAAUUUCUAUAUUUUAUCUACAACUUUCUAUUUUUAAAAUUAAAAAAUAGAAAAUAUAUCUUAACAUAACACAAGAUAUUAUUUUUGUUUAGAAUUUAUUAAUGCAGUUAAUCAAUAGAUUUGAGAUUGAAGUUAAUAAAAGGUGUUUUCAAUAACAUAAUAAUUAAUAAAAUGAGAAAGAAAUUUUUUUUAAGUCAUUAAGUACUAAACAAACUAAGGUUAUAUUGGUUAAUAUUAACGGAUUGUUUUUAGUUGAAUAGAAAAAAUCAGAAUAAGUAAAAUAUUUUAAUUUUUUAUAUUCAAUUAAAAAACAAAUAUUACUUAAGUGACUCUUAAAAAAGGUCAAGUGAACUAGAAUGAAUCAAAUGUUAGUCUACUCAAUUGGACGGUGUUAGGCACUUAAUUUUAUCUUAUUUCCAGCAAAAUAGCAUGCGAGUGUACCAUGGGAUAGGCCAUCUUUGCAAUUUCCUUUGUAUUUGCUUUUUCCCCUUUUCUUUUUUCUCUCAAAUUUCUAAAAUCCAAAUGAAGCAUAAAAUUACUAAAUAGGAUAAAGCUUAUCUUUUGGAUAUGAUUGCAUGGUGUUCUCACUGACUGCUCAUUCAAACCUCAAUCAUACAUACAUUUCAAAGCUGAAAACAUAAAUUCUAGUUUCUAGCAUUUGCAAGUCAUACUUUUUCAUCCACACAGAAUGAAUUAUUCCCAAAUUGUAGUGUGUUUUUGUCAAGGAUCGAGAUUAAUGCCUACCAGUCUGCAAUUAGAUGAUCAGUACAAGUAGACCAUCCCAUGUCUCUUUAGCAACUGUUUCUCUUUCAAGGACUCACAUUCAGACAUCAACUCAUCCCACUGCUUGUCUUUUGGAACCGCUUCCAACCAUUCAGCGCUACGCCAUAAGAUACAAGGUUUCAAUUCCAUGUCUAUAUAUAUUAUAUAGUCCAUAAUCACCUAUGAAGAAAUUAUUAUUCAUGUUUGUGAAACUUAAACUAACAUAUAAAGUUAAAAUGUAAGAUAAAUGAAGGAAUAUAAGAAAUAAAUCAUGAGGAUCAAGUACUCUGGAACAGAAAUGAAAUUCUACGUACCUGACAUGGGAAACCAACUUAAGCCUCAAUUGAUCAGUUGAGUGUUGUUCCAGCUUGGUUGAUCAAUUCCAAGACCCGCACGGUAGACAAUGUAAACUUGUUCAAAACAAGACUUCAAUGCCUCAAAAAUAAUAAUGGGCAAAUACUCUGGAACAAGUCCUAAAGUGGUUUACAAAUUAACAUAACUGGUCUGGAUCUUUUAGGCCAAUAUUUAUUUAUUUAUUCUUUUUGUUUUUGGGGUGGGCAUAUUUUUACAUCCUAGAAAUUUUAAACAGCAAAAAUAUAAUCAAGAAUUUAAGCUCCUUUAAUCUGUUUGCGGUGGAAACUUACACCAGAAAGGAAAAAUAACUUACCAAUAAUGUUGUCAUGGCUUGAAAGGUCCAAAACCAGAGACACAGAGAGAGACUAUCAAGGAGGAGGAGCUCUGGGGGUGCCAUUGUGAAUCCUACAAUUUUGGCCUUGGAUCUAUGCAUGGAACCGUCGGUGGAUCAUCUCAAACUUUUAGGGGCUUCUGAUCAUUACUAGAGCUUACCACUUCCAACUCCACUGGUGUUCUCAAGAUCAACAUGUACAAGACCAAUCCCACACUUUUCCACCUUCACUGGUUUACCAUUAACAUGGCCACGAAAUGAAGCCAUUAAAUGCCUUCGUUUAUCGGAGCGAUAUCUGUGCUUAAUAGCAACAUUAGAAUAAUACGUUACCCACACUGACUCUGAUACACCAUCAUUAUGGUCGCAUUGGCAGGAUGAUCCACAGGAGAGAUAAUCCAAAAACCCAAUUUCAUCAUCAAGGAAAGUCAAUUCACAUCCUAAAUGAUAAGGUUGCGUGAUAUUCACCGUGGCAUUCUCAGACGUACUACUCGCUGGUUCAUCCAUUGAUUUAUCCAGAGGUUCACCCUGUUGUGGAAUAUAAACACAGCAUAAAGCCAAUCCCAAGAAGUCCUUGUCGUACCAAUUAAGUGGUAGCCGUAUUGUUGCUUCACUGCUAAUACGCUGGAAUGAUAUCCACUCUGGAAGUUCUCCACUUCCAGGGAUAACAGUACUAAAUCCCUGGCUGACACCAUUUGCUGGAAGAGACAAAAGCCUUCUGUAUUUCAACUCCUGCACAGAAGGUACCAUGUUAAACAUUGAGCAUGACUGCGUAAAAUUUCAAGUUUUGGGCCCAAAUAGCCCAUUAUGGGAAAAUAAUUAAGUUUAACCACUUUGUCAAAUUUAUAUUCAAAGUAACCCAUUUAUUACACAUAGGAGCGAUAUCAUUAUAUUUUUUUUCUUAAAUUUAAGUUAAAACCUCAAUUAUCAACUAUGGAUUAAGCUAAAAAAUGACGCCUCGAUAUCACAAACAUGAUUUUUAAAAACUUUGUGAAACCACCUAAGUUCUUAGGAAUUCUUGUCGAGUUAUUACUAUUUUUUUUUUCAAAAUUUAUCUUAGGUUUCUAAAAACUUUUUUCAAAAAUUUUAAAAUGAAAAUGUUUUACUUCCUUAAAUUUUAAAAAUUUUAAAAGUUGUUUUUAAUUGCAAAAGGUAUAUAUAUAUAUAUAAAAGAAUUUUUAAAUUUUAUCUACAACUUUCUAUUUUUAAAAUUAAAAAAUAGAAAAUAUAUCUUAACAUAACACAAGAUUUGAUUUUUGUUUAGAAUUUAUUAAAGCAGUUAAUCAAUAGAUUUGAGAUUGAAGUUAAUAAAAGGUGUUUUCAAUAACAUAAUAAUUAAUAAAAUGAGAAAGAAAUUUUUUUUUAAGUCAUUAAGUACUAAACAAACUAAGGUUAUGUUGGUUAAUAUUAACGAAUUGUUUUUAGUUGAAUAGAAAAAAUCAGAAUAAGUAAAAUAUUUUAACUUUUUAUAUUCAAUUAAAAAACAAAUAUUACUUAAGUGACUCUUCAAAAAGGUCAAGUGAACUAGAAUGAAUCAAAUGUUAGUUUGCUCAAUUGUACGGUGUUAGGCACUCCAUCAAACAAAGAAAAAAUUCAUUGGUCUUUACUAGGUAAGUUGAAAUAAUUUUCACAUUUUAUUACUUAAUUGAUGAUUAUUAAUAUGAAAAAUAAAAUAACAUAAAAAUCAAUUUAUACAACAAAAUUAUAAUUUUCUUUCACAUCAAUUUCACUAAAAUUAAUUUAUGCAAUAAAAUCGAUAUAUAGAUAGAAUUCUAAUAUUUUUCAACAUCAAUUUCACUAAGAUUAAUUUAUGGAUUAAAAUCCUAUUUUCUUUAAUAUUGAAUUCAUUCUAAUUUCAUUAAUAUCAAUUUUAUGAGUUCAAAUUGUGUUUUGUUAAUACCAGGCUACCAGCUUUGUAAUAAUAAAACCAUCUAAUAGUCCAACACAUAUAGGCCCAUGGUUAGGCCCAAGCCUAUAAAUUACUCGCUGAUGAAUGCCAAGUUUAAGGGGGAUACUUUUGCUCCUCCAUUUCCGACAUGGAAUCAAGUGACUUCAUUUUAUCAUACAUACAUUUCAUAGCUGAAAACAUAAAUUCUAGUUUCUAGCAUUUGCAAGUCAUAGUGUUUUCGUCAAGGAUCAAGAUUAAUGCCUACCAGUCUGCAAUUAGAUGAUCAGUACAAGUAGACCAUCCCAUGUCUCUUUAGCAACUGUUUCUCUUUCAAGGACUCACAUUCAGACAUCAACUCAUCCCACUGCUUGUCUUUUGGAACCGCUUCCAACCAUUCAGCUACACCAUAAGAUACAAGGUUUCAAUUCCAUGUAUAUAUUAUAUAGUCCAUAAUCACCUAUGAAGAAAUUAUUAUUCAUGUUUGUGAAACUUAAAUUAACAUAUAAAGUUAAAAUGUAAGAUAAAUGAAGGAAUAUAAGAAAUAAAUCAUGAGGAUCAAGUACUCUGGAACAGAAAUGAAAUUCUACGUACCUGAUGACAUGGGAAACCAACUUAAGCCUCAAUUGAUCAGUUGAGUGUUGUGCCUGAAACGCGAGGGAUGUCCUAGCUUGGUUGAUCAAUUCCAAGACCCGCAUGCUAGACAAUGUAAACUUGUUCAAAACAAGACUUCAAUGCCUCAAAAAUAAUAAUGGGCAAAUACUCUGGAACAAGUCCUAAAGUGGUUUACAAAUUAACAUAACUGGUCUGGAUCUUUUAGGCCAAUAUUUAUUUAUUUAUUCUUUUUGUUUUUGGGGUGGGCAUAUUUUUACAUCCUAGAAAUUUUAAACAGCAAAAAUAUAAUCAAGAAUUUAAGCUCCUUUAAUCUGUUUGCAGUGGAAACUUACACCAGAAAGGAAAAAUAACUUACCGAUAAUGUUGUCAUGGCUUGAAAGGUCCAAAACCAGAGAGACAGAGAGAGACUAUCAAGGAGAAGGAGCUCUGGGUGUGCCAUUGUGAAUCCUACAAUUUUGGCCUUGGAUCUAUGCAUGGAAUCGUCGGUGGAUCAUCUCAAACUUUUAGGGGCUUCUGAUCAUUACUAGAGCUUACCACUUCCAACUCCACUGCUGUUCUCAAGAUCAACGUGUACAAGACCAAUCCCACACUGUUCCACCUUCACUGGUUUACCAUUAACAUGGCCACGAAAUGAAGCCUUUAAAAACCUUGGUUUAUCGGAGCGAUAUCUGUGCUUAAUAGCAACAUUAGAAUAAUACGUUACCCACACUGACUCUGAUACACCAUCAUUAUGGUCGCAUUGGCAGGAUGAUCCACAGGAGAGAUAAUCCAAAAACCCAAUUUCAUCAUCAAGGAAAGUCAAUUCACAUCCUAAAUGAUAAGGUUGCGUGAUAUUCACCGUGGCAUUCUCAGAUGUACUACUCUCUGGUUCAUCCAUUGGUUCAUCCAUUGAUUCAUUCUCAGACGUACUACUCUCUGGUUCACCCUGUUGUGGAAUAUAAACACAGCAUAAAGCCAAUCCCAAGAAGUCCUUGUCGUACCAAUUAGGAGGUAGCGGUACUAUUACUUCAUUGCCAACACCCUGGUGUUGUAUCCACUCUGGAAGUUCUCCACUUCCAGGGAUAACAGUACUAAAUCCCUGGCUGACACCAUUUGCUGGAAGAGACAAAAGCCUUCUGUAUUUCAUCUCCUGCACAGAAGGUACCAUGUUAAACAUUGAGCCUGACUACAUAAAAUUUCGAGUUUUGGGCCCAAAUAGCCCAUUAUGGGAAAAAAAAUUAAGUUUAACCGCUUUGUCAAAUUUAUGUUCAAAGUAACCCUUUUAUUACACAUAGGAGCGAUAUCAUUAUAUUUUUUUUUUCUUAAAUUUAAGUUAAAACCUUAAUUACCAACUAAGGCUUAAGUUAAAAAAUGAAGCCUCGAAGGAUGAUGUGACACUUACCUAGAAAGAGACCACAUUGAAUAUAAGUUUUAAAAAUGGCCUAAAAGUUAUAUUACAGGCUAUCUGGACCCAAAAUUCUAAAAAUUCUGUGCUACGAAAAC
This 41403-nucleotide long non-coding RNA is filed under the name Vitis vinifera (wine grape). RNAcentral describes it as "long non-coding RNA (VVIN_LNC006220)". The record is from RNAcentral. Lineage: Eukaryota; Viridiplantae; Streptophyta; Magnoliopsida; Vitales; Vitaceae.